UGGCGGUUAAUCUGUCACGAUUUGUCGCAGGGUUCGUAGCGAUUCGUAGGUUAGGUGAUGAUGGAAGGUACGGAAGGCACUGACAAUACGGAUCAUACGGAUGAUCUUGCAGGAAAUAAUUGGAAGGAUCAUGCGUCUGGUAAAGAGGUGGGAAGUGCUCAAGAAGAAACUGAACACGAAGAGGAAAAAUCAGAAAGGAUUUUGAGAUUGCCUCUUGCAAGAGUGAAACACAUAAUGAAAAUCGACCCAGAUGUUCAUUUCGCUAGCCAAGAAGCAGUAUUCCUUAUUACGAAAUCAACGGAGCUAUUCAUUGAAUCACUUGCCAAGGAAGCCUACACAUACACAACCCAAGGCAAACGGAGAACACUUCAGAAGAAGGAUGUUGACAAUGCAAUAGAGUCUGCAGACUGCCUUGCAUUCUUAGAGGGAGUACUUGAUACAUGAAUUCCAAGUACAUAAAAUGUUCCUAUUAUUGCAUGUAGUGAAAUACUUUAUUGUGAUUCCUGUUUUCAUUAAGGAGUGCUAAAGACUUCUCCAAAAACAAUAUCAAACUAUUUCCAACUGGGCUAAUCGUUCAUAAUGCAGUAGGUUCCUCCAGCCAAUAUACUUCUCAAACAAUCAAUCAAGCCAUCUUCAAUGAUAAAAAAACAGUACAGGAUCUGAAAAAAAUAUUGCAAUUUGCAAUAUUAUAUUGUGGCGUACAAACCCACUGCUAAGCAUGACUCUGUAAACAGCGGCCAUUGCUAGGUAACGCCCGCAA
This is an RNA transcript of Cryptotermes secundus, 760 nucleotides long. It is a transcript of the gene named DNA polymerase epsilon subunit 4, with no coding region annotated. The transcript has 3 exons. The record is from RefSeq and is a predicted model, not a curated record. Lineage: Eukaryota; Metazoa; Arthropoda; Insecta; Blattodea; Kalotermitidae.